RNAcentral lists this long non-coding RNA (227 nucleotides) under Zea mays. Its description in RNAcentral is "long non-coding RNA NONZMAT002638". Lineage: Eukaryota; Viridiplantae; Streptophyta; Magnoliopsida; Poales; Poaceae. The record is from RNAcentral.
CAGGAACGUCUGCUCUUCUUCCUCGGGUCAGCAGGAGCCGAGGACCCAGAUCCAAGUGCAGCUGAAGCUGCAACUGCACUAGGCCAGUAGCAGCGGCGCACACUGAAUCCCCCCAAGCGCCUCUGAUCUACUAGUAGAAGGAAGAAGAAAAAAAUCCUCCGGAAUUGCAGCACAUGGAUAUGGAUAUGGAUAUGGCACGGAUGGACUGGAAUGGAAUUCGAUUGCGG